ACGAGUAGCUUCAGAACGAACGGCUGUCGGUUUUCUUGAUCGAAAGUUCGUCUCUUUAAUUUCUGUAAAAUGCAAUAUUAGGAAGCAUUUGACGUUCCGCAGGAGAUGUCGCUAUACCACGAUAUUGUCAUCGAUCAACCGGCUGGAGAGUUUGUCACCUCUGGAUCGAGGAGCAAUUAAUUCUGGCGAACGACUUCAUGGAUCGGACAGCGGAGCACAUGGUGGGAACGCGCCUGUUUCGUAUUAUCAUAACGGAAUCGGCGAAACACGCUUUCGCAGAGUAAUUAACUUUUCGCGUUCGCCACUGGUUUUCAAUGCUUGCCUGUUAUAUACCGUUGGAAAGAAAACAAAAGAAUUUAAAAGCUAGAUGCAAAUCAAAAGCACUCUGAUACCAAACUGCCGUAUAACGAUCAUUGGAAUAUCUUACGUAAUGCCAUGACGAAAGGGAAAAUCUUCAUGGAGACAUGAUUAAUUCAAGAUAGUUGGUCAAGUUUAGCAUCGCUGCAAAGAAAAACUAUGACAACAGCGCGAAUCUUUUUUGCACGACAUAAUGUUCCAGAAGAAACAGAGAAUGAGAUAUACGAAGCU
Long non-coding RNA from Bombus pyrosoma, 588 nucleotides. RefSeq lists it as uncharacterized. The transcript is spliced from 3 exons. NCBI's taxonomy places the organism in Eukaryota, Metazoa, Arthropoda, Insecta, Hymenoptera, Apidae. The record is from RefSeq and is a predicted model, not a curated record.